Molecule: ribosomal RNA, 253 nt
Filed under: uncultured bacterium
Lineage: Bacteria
Description: partial 16S ribosomal RNA
Rfam family: Bacterial small subunit ribosomal RNA
Source: RNAcentral
UACAGAGGGUGCGAGCGUUAAUCGGAUUUACUGGGCGUAAAGGGCGUGUAGGUGGUUACGUAAGUGAGAGGUGAAAUCCCCGGGCUCAACCUGGGAACUGCCUCUUAAACUGCGUAGCUGGAGUACAUUAGAGGGUAGUGGAAUUUCCGGUGUAGCGGUGAAAUGCGUAGAUAUCGGAAGGAACACCAGUGGCGAAGGCGGCUACCUGGAAUGAUACUGACACUGAGGCGCGAGAGCGUGGGGAGCAAACAGG